This 976-nucleotide long non-coding RNA is filed under the name Equus caballus (horse). Its description in RNAcentral is "lncRNA (ENSECAG00000039906.2)". The record is from RNAcentral. Lineage: Eukaryota; Metazoa; Chordata; Mammalia; Perissodactyla; Equidae.
GUCCUUCAAGGUGCAGAGCCUCUAUCUUUCAGGAGCCGACAGCCCCUGGGAUCCCCCUGGGAUGUGUGAGGUGGCAGGAGAUUGUGACAGGGGCCGCAGGGGUCAGAGGGCAAAGGUGUCAGAGUCCCAGGGUGCCUCUUACACCCACCCAGGAGGACAGCCAGGGGGUUUCAGAGCUCAGGCAGGCACAGGUGUCAACGUGUCAGGAGGAGCACCAGUUUCAUAGACUAAGAAGACCCCAAGUGGGUCUCUGAGGGGCAAGCCCUCGGCAUAAAGCAGGUGGGGCUUUGCAAGCAGGAGACUUUCUAACGGGUCUUCGGGUGCAUUUGGUCAUGUUUGGUUGGCUUUGAGGGCACAGCAAGCAGUUGGGGACAUUCUGAAGAGGCUGGCUGUCCCACAUUAGGGGUGGCGGGCAUCUGUGACUGGCCAUCCAGGAACAAGUGGGGUCUGUGGGGACUUCCUUGCAGGUAAACUGUCACGUGGCCAUGACUGGCGGCUCCAUGGCUGGCAGCGUUCUGUGUAAAGUUAAGGUUUGGGAAGCAGACAACGGCCUGGUUAGACCUGUGUAGAGAUGUUCAUGGAUUCCAUCUUCUGGUGGUGUUUGCACGCUCCCCUGUAAGGAUCAGAGGGGGAUCCAGAGUUACCUCCCCACGAUGGGCAGAAGCAGGAUAGAGAAGACUUUCAAAAGCAGCCCCUUCUGUGGGAUUAGACAGGCUGGUUCCAAAAUGCACAUGGAAAUGAACGUCCAAGAAGAACAUGGUGGAAGGCUGUGCUCCACCAAGAGUGAGACCUGUUUUAAAGCCGUAAUAAUCAGGCCAGGGGAUGUCAGUGCGGGGAGAGGAAGACAGACUCAGCUCGGCGCAAGACCCACUGGUUCACAGACACAACUUGUGUCUGAAAUGGCCCUGCAGAGCGGGGGAGAAAAGUCUUUCCGAUAAAAGUGCUGGAAACUGGGAAUGCAGCUGGAAACAUAAAC